AAGUCGUAACAAGGUCUCCGUAGGUGAACCUGCGGAGGGAUCAUUACAGAGUUCGUGCCCCUAUGGGUAGAUCUCCCACCCUGUGUUAUUCAACCAUUGUUGCUCUGGCGGGUCCCGAGCUCACCCUUGGCCCGCCAGAGGAAAACCCAACCCUGAAUGUCAGUGUCGUCUGAGUACUAUAUAAAUAGUUAAAAA
This 195-nucleotide unclassified non-coding RNA is filed under the name plant metagenome. RNAcentral's name for it is "partial contains small subunit ribosomal RNA and internal transcribed spacer 1". The stretch from base 1 to 46 matches the Rfam family "Eukaryotic small subunit ribosomal RNA", at positions 1786 to 1831 of the family's 1831-position model. The record is from RNAcentral.